UACGAAGGGGGCUAGCGUUGCUCGGAAUUACUGGGCGUAAAGCGCACGUAGGCGGCUCUUUAAGUCGGGGGUGAAAUCCUGGAGCUCAACUCCAGAACUGCCUUCGAUACUGAAGAGCUCGAGUCCGGGAGAGGUGAGUGGAACUGCGAGUGUAGAGGUGAAAUUCGUAGAUAUUCGCAAGAACACCAGUGGCGAAGGCGGCUCACUGGCUCGGUACUGACGCUGAGGUGCGAAAGCGUGGGGAGCAAACAGG
Molecule: ribosomal RNA, 253 nt
Filed under: uncultured bacterium
Lineage: Bacteria
Description: partial 16S ribosomal RNA
Rfam family: Bacterial small subunit ribosomal RNA
Source: RNAcentral